Molecule: long non-coding RNA, 1355 nt
Filed under: Homo sapiens (human)
Lineage: Eukaryota; Metazoa; Chordata; Mammalia; Primates; Hominidae
Description: long intergenic non-protein coding RNA 470
Source: RNAcentral
AGACUCCCGAGUAGCUGGGACUACAGGCGCCCGCCAUGAUGCCCGGCUAAUUUUUUGUAUUUUUAGCAGAGACGGGGUUUCACCCUGUUAGCCAGGAUGGUCUCAUCUCCUGACCUCGUGAUCCGCCCGCCUAGGCCUCCCAAAGUGCUGGGAUUACAGGCGUGAGCCACCGCGCCCGGCCUAAUAAAGGACAAUUUUUAAUAGCCACUGGACUAUUUAAGUGAUCUCUUCUGUCAGUUUCUUUUACCAUCAGAGGACACAGCAGCAAGGUGCCAUCCUAGAAGCAGAGAGCAGACCCUUACCAGACAACCAACCAGCUGGUGCCAUGAUCUUGGACUUCUCGGCCUCCAGAACUGCACUUAAACACGCAGCAUGAGGAAAAUGGAACAACAAUCUUGAGGUGCCUUCUGAAUCAUCAGAUUAAAUUAUGCUUCGGUCUUGCACUGCUGCCUAGGCUAGAGUGCAGUGGUGCAAUCAGGGCUCACUGCAGCCUCACUCAACUUCCCAGUCUCAAGCCAUCCUCCUACCUCAGCCUCUGUUCCACUAAUCUACUUGUCAAUUUUUCCAGCAACACCACACCCUCCUGAUCACCAUAGCUUUAUGGUAAGACACCCCUACUCUGUCCAGACCCAACUGUCAACAGAAGCCAAAGCCAUCUGGAGGAGCAUGCAACAACAAGAAACAAAUUUAUUAGCUAACCUAACCACUAAUGACGCAAGAGACAAUUCUAAGGACUUUCAAAACAGCAAAGUAGGAGCAGCUGCUACCUCUAGGGAUGAGGGAGAAACUCAAAAAUGCAUACAAAAACCAUUGCAUGAAAAGUGACUGGAUUUGUACAUAGCGUCAGGAGAUGUGCGUAGUGUCAAAGUAUCUCAUCACACAUUACUUGAUAAUUACAAAUGAGAAAAAUGAACCUUCACAGUGGCAAGACUUGACUUCUACCUCUUUCAAAAAGAUGCAAUUGUCCAAUUAUUGGUGAAAUUGUCAUUUCAUGCUAUUGGCUAUUUGAAAUUCCUCCUCUAAUUUCAGAAUAAAUCACUGAAAUUGACAUCGGCCAGUCUGAAUUUCAAGAAAUUACCUGCUGAAGACAAGAGGGAUCUCUUCUUCAGAUUUGCAGUCUGGGGAAGACACAGCCUCUACUGUACUUUAGAACCUGAGAUAUGGUGGUGGAGGGAGCCCUGGGUCGAGUGGUAAGAUUCACCCUUAGGUUAGUAUUGACGUAAGGUGACGAGGAGCUGUAGACAAAAGAUUGUAACCAUAAGAACUUCAUAGUUUUUGUAUUUUCACCGAGCUUAUAUUUGGUGUGUUUUUUGUCUUUUCUUUAUGAUUAUCAAUAAAAUGCUUGAAAGGAGAUG